UCCAGCAUGGUGUAGUGAUUUGAGCAUUGGACUACAACUCUGGUGACCAGGGUUUGAAUCCCUGCUUGGGAA
RNAcentral lists this transfer RNA (72 nucleotides) under Phrynosoma platyrhinos (Desert horned lizard). RNAcentral describes it as "tRNA-OTHER". Lineage: Eukaryota; Metazoa; Chordata; Lepidosauria; Squamata; Phrynosomatidae. The record is from RNAcentral.